This 93-nucleotide small RNA is filed under the name Chryseobacterium aquaeductus. RNAcentral's name for it is "Flavo-1 RNA". It matches the Rfam family "Flavo-1 RNA". Lineage: Bacteria; Pseudomonadati; Bacteroidota; Flavobacteriia; Flavobacteriales; Weeksellaceae. The record is from Rfam by way of RNAcentral.
UCCUAGCCCCGAUAGCAGCGGCAUCCUUUUUUGUGUUGCCUGAGCGCAGUCGAAGGCAUCACAAAAAAGAUACAGCGGAUAGCGGGAUCAGCU